UUGAACGCUGGCGGUAGGCUUAACACAUGCAAGUCGAGCGGAAACGAUGAUAGCUUGCUAUCAGGCGUCGAGCGGCGGACGGGUGAGUAAUGCAUGGGAAUCUGCCCGAUAGAGGGGGAUAGCCCGGGGAAACCCGGAUUAAUACCGCAUACACCCUACGGGGAAAAGCAGGGGAUCUUCGGACCUUGCGCUAUCGGAUGAGCCCAUGUUCUAUUAGCUAGUUGGUGGGGUAAAAGCCCACCAAGGCGACGAUCCGUAGCUGGUCUGAGAGGAUGAUCAGCCACACUGGGACUGAGACACGGCCCAGACUCCUACGGGAGGCAGCAGUGGGGAAUAGGGGACAAUGGGGGCAACCCUGAUCCAGCCAUGCCGCGUGUGUGAAGAAGGCCUUAGGGUUGUAAAGCACUUUCAGUAGGGAGGAAAAGUUAGUCGUUAAUAACGGCUAACCCUGACGUUACCUACAGAAGAAGCACCGGCAAACUCCGUGCCAGCAGCCGCGGUAAUACGGAGGGUGCGAGCGUUAAUCGGAAUUACUGGGCGUAAAGCGCGCGUAGGUGGUUUGUUAAGCGAGGAUGUGAAAGGCCCUGGGUUAACCUAGGAACUGCAUUCAAAACUGUCAGGCUAGAGUAUGGUAGAGGAUAGUGGAAUUUCCGGUGUAGCGGUGAAAUGCGUAGAGAUCGGAAGGAACAUCAGUGGCGAAGGCGGCUAUCUUCUGGACCAAUACUGACGCUGAGGUGCGAAAGCGUGGGGAGCAAACAGGAUUAGAUACCCUGGUAGUCCACGCCGUAAACGAUGAUGUCAACUAGUCGUUGGAAGACUUGAUCUUUUAGUGGCGCAGCUAACGCAAUAAGUUGACCGCCUGGGGAGUACGGCCGCAAGGUUAAAACUCAAAUGAAUUGACGGGGGCCCGCACAAGAGGUGGAGCAUGUGGUUUAAUUCGACGCAACGCGAAGAACCUUACCUACUCUUGACAUCCUCAGAACUUAGCAGAGAUGCUUUGGUGCCUUCGGGAACUGAGUGACAGGUGCUGCAUGGCUGUCGUCAGCUCGUGUUGUGAAAUGUUGGGUUAAGUCCCGUAACGAGCGCAACCCUUGUCCUUAUUUGCCAGCACGUAAUGGUGGGAACUUUGAGGAGACUGCCGGUGACAACUGGAGGAAGGUGAGGACGAGGUCAAGUCAUCAUGGCCCUUAUGGGCAGGGCUACACACGUGCUACAAUGGGGCAUACAGAGGGCUGCUAAGCCGCGAGGUGGAGCUAAUCCCAGAAAGUGUCUCGUAGUCCGGAUUGGAGUCUGCAACUCGACUCCAUGAAGUUGGAAUCGCUAGUAAUCGCGGAUCAGAAUGCCGCGGUGAAUACGUUCCCGGGCCUUGUACACACCGCCCGUCACACCAUGGAAGUAGGUUGCACCAGAAGUAGGUAGACUAACCCUCGGGAGGUCGCUUACCACGGUGUGGUUUAUGACUGGGGUGA
This 1469-nucleotide ribosomal RNA is filed under the name uncultured prokaryote. Its description in RNAcentral is "partial 16S ribosomal RNA". It matches the Rfam family "Bacterial small subunit ribosomal RNA". The record is from RNAcentral.